Molecule: ribosomal RNA, 498 nt
Filed under: uncultured bacterium
Lineage: Bacteria
Description: partial 16S ribosomal RNA
Rfam family: Bacterial small subunit ribosomal RNA
Source: RNAcentral
AUUGAACGCUGGCGGCAUGCCUUACACAUGCAAGUCGAACGGUAACAGGUCUUCGGAUGCUGACGAGUGGCGAACGGGUGAGUAAUACAUCGGAACGUGCCUAGUAGUGGGGGAUAACUACUCGAAAGAGUGGCUAAUACCGCAUGAGAUCUACGGAUGAAAGCAGGGGAUCGCAAGACCUUGUGCUACUAGAGCGGCCGAUGGCAGAUUAGGUAGUUGGUGGGAUAAAAGCUUACCAAGCCGACGAUCUGUAGCUGGUCUGAGAGGACGAUCAGGCACACUGGGACUGAGACACGGCCCAGACUCCGACGGGAGGCAGCAGUGGGGAAUUUUGGACAAUGGGCGAAAGCCUGAUCCAGCAAUGCCGCGUGCAGGAUGAAGGCCUUCGGGUUGUAAACUGCUUUUGUACGGAACGAAAAGCCCCGGGUUAAUACCCUGGGGUCAUGACGGUACCGUAAGAAUAAGCACCGGCUAACUACGUGCCAGCAGCCGCUGUAA